This is a long non-coding RNA of Alnus glutinosa, 574 nucleotides long. RefSeq lists it as uncharacterized. The record is from RefSeq and is a predicted model, not a curated record. The transcript has 4 exons. Lineage: Eukaryota; Viridiplantae; Streptophyta; Magnoliopsida; Fagales; Betulaceae.
UUAUCUCAGAAAAUGGGGAAAAGAGGCAGUAUGCCUCUUGACCCGUGAAGAAAAAUAAAAAGAGGGAAGAAUGAGGAUUUUUCAUUUCUCUUUACGAAAAUCCUUGAUCUACGAAGAUCCAAUGGUUCGAUCUUCAAUCCGACUUCGGUAACGUGAUCUACGAAGCCUGAUCUACGUUUCUACCGAUCGGUUUGAGAUUUUGGGUAGUUUGGAGUUGCUAGAAGCUUCCCGAGCAUUUGGUCUUUGCUUGGCGAAUUUUUGUGAUACAUUGCAAGGUGAUGUCUAGGAGACCUAGUGCUUAAUAUCCGCGCAGCCAGAUGAUGUCCAUUUGACUGCAGGUACACUUGACUUAGAGGGGACCCCGUAGCUGUGUAUUUGGGAUAUUACGAUUGAAGCACACCGCGACAGUCGUAUUGAGUUGGACUAUGGAGUUCACUCUUUUGGAGUAUUUUGUAUAUGGCUCUUUUGUAUGGACCACAUGUAUAUUUAGAUGUGCUUUCCGUUAUGAGAUGUAACGUUAUGAUUAUUCCGCUGUUAGAUAUUACUCUGAAUAUCAGGUACAUGAUAUGGAGCA